RNAcentral lists this ribosomal RNA (446 nucleotides) under uncultured bacterium. RNAcentral describes it as "bacterial SSU rRNA". It matches the Rfam family "Bacterial small subunit ribosomal RNA", at positions 30 to 471 of the family's 1533-position model. The record is from RNAcentral.
AUUGAACGCUGGCGGCAUGCUUUACACAUGCAAGUCGAACGGUAACAGGUCUUCGGACGCUGACGAGUGGCGAACGGGUGAGUAAUGCAUCGGAACGUGCCCAGUCGUGGGGGAUAACGCAGCGAAAGCUGUGCUAAUACCGCAUACGAUCUAUGGAUGAAAGCGGGGGAUCGAAAGACCUCGCGCGAUUGGAGCGGCCGAUGUCAGAUUAGCUAGUUGGUGGGGUAAAGGCCCACCAAGGCGACGAUCUGUAGCUGGUCUGAGAGGACGACCAGCCACACUGGGACUGAGACACGGCCCAGACUCCUACGGGAGGCAGCAGUGGGGAAUUUUGGACAAUGGGCGCAAGCCUGAUCCAGCAAUGCCGCGUGCAGGAAGAAGGCCUUCGGGUUGUAAACUGCUUUUGUACGGAACGAAAAAGUCUGGGUUAAUACCCUGGGCUCAUG